UAGAGUUUAUAAGACUGAGACGGUCAACAAAAGGUUUAAACAGGACCUUCACAAUCCUCACACACCAGCACUGACUAGAAAUGGCAUCAGAAAUAGCAGUGGUCAGAGACAUGUAUGAAGGGCUGGUUAUUGAAGAAGGACAAGAUGAAGAAAAAGCAAGAAAGCAACACAGAGAACGACAGCUGAACGAAAACCCAGAUAUUCUCUUCAGAGUUUAUAAAGAAGAUGAAGAAAUUCCGCAUGUUCUGCUCUUCAGACCCACAAAUGACAGCUGGUGGAUAGAAAGACUUAAAUAUCGAUAUCCUGGCAUCUUUGCUCAGUGGACUUUUCAACAUGCUGAUGACCAGCCAAUUCGGCAUAAUAUGAAUCUCUCUGGUAAACAGGAUUUGUUGCAAAGAUUCUGUGAUGAGUUUCCAAACAAUCGUUUGACGUCACUUGACAAUGUCGAAGAAGUUGAAGAGCUGAGAGCAACAAUAGAAGAGCAGAGAGCAACAAUAGAAGAUCUGAGAGCAACAAUACAAGAUCUGGAAGCAAGAAUGGAAGAUCUUCAAUUAGAAAACAGAAGACGUAGACGACAAUGAUAAUUCAAAAAUGGCUGCCAUAAACAUGAGAGACCAUGUUUCACCUGACGGGAGCCCAUGAAGACCUCAAGAUCUGCAUCUUUUGAACAGAUUUAAAGAAAAAAAUAUGAAUUUCUUUUUCUCUGUCAUAUUCAAGCUGUGAUUAAAUCUGUCACACUUUAUACUCUAGUCUAUAUUUCUGUAUAAACAUUAACCUUUUUAAAUCAUGACUACAACCAAUCUAAUGGUUACUACACUGUUAACACACACUGUUAAACUUAAUGGCAGAUGCCAGUGGCAGGACAUGAUGUCACACUGUAUGGGGUAAGUUGUCACAAUGGAACCUGCCAUUCACACACUGUAACAUAAUCAGUCAUUUUUGUCUUAGUUUCAUUUUCAUGGAUUUUUAGUUUGUUUCAAUUCAGUUACUUUUUCCUUUCCCUCCAGUCUUUAUUUGUCAUAGUAACUGAUAUGAUUAGUCUUUCUGUUCAGCUGUGUGUCAUUAAUUAUCCUUGUGUGCCUUAGUAUUUAUCUGCCGGUGUUUUUAAUUCUCAUUGUUGGUUGUCAUUAACUCUUGCACUAAGUUUGGUUACGGUUUUAAUUCUUUUAAUAAAGUUAAUUGUGUAUUCUU
Ctenopharyngodon idella (grass carp) is the source of this 1191-nucleotide long non-coding RNA. RefSeq lists it as uncharacterized. The transcript has 2 exons. The record is from RefSeq and is a predicted model, not a curated record. Lineage: Eukaryota; Metazoa; Chordata; Actinopteri; Cypriniformes; Xenocyprididae.